Molecule: ribosomal RNA, 440 nt
Filed under: uncultured bacterium
Lineage: Bacteria
Description: partial 16S ribosomal RNA
Rfam family: Bacterial small subunit ribosomal RNA
Source: RNAcentral
CCUACGUGAGACAGCAGUAGGGAAUAUUGCUCAAUGGGGGAAACCCUGAAGCAGCAACGCCGCGUGGAGGAUGAAGGUUUUAGGAUUGUAAACUCCUUUUGUGAGAGAAGAUAAUGACGGUAUCUCACGAAUAAGCACCGGCUAACUCCGUGCCAGCAGCCGCGGUAAUACGGAGGGUGCAAGCGUUACUCGGAAUCACUGGGCGUAAAGAGCGCGUAGGCGGGAUAGCAAGUCAGAUGUGAAAUCCUAUGGCUUAACCAUAGAACUGCAUUUGAAACUGUUAUUCUAGAGUAUGGGAGAGGUAGGUGGAAUUCUUGGUGUAGGGGUAAAAUCCGUCGAGAUCAAGAGGAAUACUCAUUGCGAAGGCGACCUGCUAGAACAUAACUGACGCUGAUGCGCGAAAGCGUGGGGAGCAAACAGGAUUAGAUACCCGAGUAGUC